GUAAAACAAAAAUGUUUAUUUAGACAUGUUUAAAUUUUAAACAUUUAACAUUUAAAUUCUAUUUAAAAUUUUAAAUUCUUUAUAUUUGAUUGUUAUACAGAUAACAUUAAUAAAUACAUAUUCAUUUUACUUCGUGUUUAGUUAGACACGCUGAUAAUACCGAAGAUUGCGUACCAAUAUUUUAUUUAAUGUACGAAACUGUCCUGUUUACGAUUACUAAAAAUUCUAACCACUGCUCAUGACAGCCGGGCACGCAGUCUCCUUUAUCUUUUCCGUGUUUCUCGCCAGCCUUCACGGCCAGUAUCGUGUGUGUUACGAGCGCUAAAUCUGCACGUAUCACACGAAUUUUCCGGAGAAAGACUGUUGGUUUUGCGAAAGCGCUAUUGUAGAUCCUAUAAUGUUCUCCAUUUCCAGGGCGAAUCCCAGGAGUUCUAUAAAACGUGUAGAACGAGUACUCGAGUUUUCUACCGACUGUUACUUCUUGAGCAACAUUUACCGUUUACGAGCGUCUUUUCGCGCCGCCACUCGUCUUCUUGCGAUCAAUGCUAAUUAAUACUACAGGCAAGUUCCGUAAACUCUUGGUGCUUUUAGGGUCAAUCACGAAAUUAGAAAUUUUACCUACACAUUUCUUGCCGUUCUACCCCGGAUUAAUGACGGAGAUCGCUAUAAAUCCGCAAUAUUAUCCCUUAAUUAUAUCGUAACACGCAAAUUUGGCGUGGUGACUCGCUUAAAAAUGGAAUUCUUCGAUCCGGCCCGACCGCGAAAGCUCCGCCCCUCCAUUCACGUCCCGUUAAUAGCGACCGCACUUGAAAUUGCAUACACGUCGCCAGUUUAAAUCCCGGAUGUUAGUGGCGUAGUGACGGCACCCGGUCGAUCUCCCAUAAUCGGGCUGUUUUUAUUCCGUCCCAGCCAUUGAUCGUGUGCGCGGCCCCCUUUCUUCCAUCCAUUCCGUCGAUCGACACCUAUCACGCGACCCUUUUUCCAUUCCUGAUCCUACCUAAUCAUCGGAGGUCUGCGUCAUUCUCCACGAACGACGAUUGCUUAUUUGCAAGGGUGUGGCGCACACCCCGGUGUACGUACCACCGUUCCUCCAUUGAGUUUCUGGGCGCGGUAAAGACUUGAAUGAACGCCCUUAACUUCGUCGUCCCACGUAACGAUCCCUGUGUAAAUUAGCGUUUCUUAAAUGCCCACGAUAUCGCCGUAUGUUACGCGUAUGCGCGAUUUCCAAGCGUAUUCCAAGAUUUUACUCAGCAGCGACAUAUUUUAUUUCUGACAAAUCCUUGAUCCUCCGACGGAAUUUUUACACACCUCUUCGAUUCACAUAAACACGCGCGCACACUUUUCCAUCUAACAAUGACGAGCUGAAACGGUUUUCUCGGAACUUCGAGCGAGUCGAGAAUAUUUGCAUCAUUAGCUCUGGCUUAAAUUUCAGGCGUACGGUUAAUAAGUUCGCGCAAAAAAUCUCUAAUAUCCAAGAAAAGCUAUAUCGAGAGAGGAAAACCAUAAUUCACGAAGCGGAUCUCGCGCUCGCUGGAGGACGGAGAGGAUAGGAUCCUCAUAGGAUCCCUCAAUACACAAGAACUUCAAAGCUUCGGAGGGAAAAGAGACCGAAUGCUGCUCGCAGGUACUCGGAGGGACGAUUCAUCGGAGAGGCUUGAAAAGAACGUGGAAAAGGAACGACGACCUACUUUUAUCUCCCACGCAGACCACGAUUUUUUUUUCUUUCUUUUUUUUUCUUGCCACGAGCCGAGGGACAGGUUCGCAAGCUAAGGACAAAGGGCGAACGCGUUCUCCAUCUUUCUUCGGGCAAAAGAUCGGAUCUACCCCACCACGCUAAUACUUUUCGCAAACACGCAGAUCCCGUUUAACGAUUAUGCAUAUUUGCCGAUUGUGGGGUCUCGUCUCCAAAUAUUCGAGAAUUCGAUGGAUUCUCGAAGCUGGCUGUUCGACAGCUAUAAGUAGCUGCGACCUUUCGAGGCUGCGGAAUAUCGAAAGUUCGCCAAGUUCAUUAUAUCCCGAACUUCGCGGCGUAUUGCGGCUCGGCUACUCGGUACGUAUACUUUUCAGUAAUCGAUAGUUCGGAAGUACCGGAAGCCUCUACCUCAAUAUACGCGCGCUGCAAUUUGGAUCACACCGGCAGGUUUAUAUAUGUACAUUAAAUUCGCGUAUUAUGAAAAUAGUUUCCCUACGGAAAAAAAAAAAAUUGCAGAACAGUUUCAUUAUACAAUUGCCGCGUGCGGCAAACGGUCAAUCUUAGAAAAUAGUUAUUGUACAUAAUUAUUUUCUAAAAUCAAAUGUGUAAACCGUUCGGUUAAAUGUCAAUUAAUAAAAACGAAUAUAAUUUUCAAGUGUGUAUUUUCAUUAUGUGCAAUAGCAGUUAAAUAUAACUUGAAAUUCACACCGCUAAAUAUAACUUGAAAACUUGUACUUUACAAAACUAUUAAAAAGGCAUUACUGAAAGAUAUAUUAGAGGAAAAAAGUUGAAUUGCAUUAUAUGAUCCUCUAAAGCCUGUUAAAGUCAAGCGAUGUUUAAUUCAAGAGAGUCACCUGAACUCUCCUCAGUUAAUUUUAAAUAACGUUUAUGACAACGGGUACUUUCGCAAACUCAUUUUCUUUAAUGGCAAAAAGAAAAAUGCCUUCUGUCACUGUCCCACCCAACGAUUCAUAUCUUUCUGCUCCAAAUCAGGGACAAUAAAAAAUUCAAGCGCGCGUGAAGGCUAGCGUUUCACCAGUGGGAUUUUUAAGCGGGUCACUCGCGGCAUAAAAAGGGUGACGAAAGGAGAGACGGAGUCGCAUUAGCCGAUCAGCAUUAUAGUUUACAGGCAUGAUGAGAACAACUUUGACCUGGAUCGCCGGCAUUCACCAUGCAUAACUACUACUGACCGCUCUCCUCUCUCAUCCCUCCUUCCCUUUCAACUCCCUUCGUAUCGUAAGUUUGCACACCGUCAGUUUGCACUGUGUCUGCGCCGCGUGUCGUGCAUCCCCGCGACCACUAACGCGGCCCCUGCAUAUGCACCAACGUGUCGCGUAAUCCGCGAUAGAACCGUGCGCACGGUAUGCACGUCGACGAUCUCCUCCCCGUCGUCGACGUCGUCGCCAAUAAAUCCGCAUAGAUCCAUAGAUUGCGCGGGGAUUAAUCUCCCUCCCGGAUGGGGGUGGGGGGGGGGAGGGGCGGAACGCUGGUCCCCGGUAUAAAUAAAUCGAUCACGUAAUGCUACAAGUCGGUCAUGUUUUUAAAGCAGUCAAGGUGAUGUAUAUAUCAUCCAGCUGUCCCUUUUCGUCGGACCGACCCCGUGCUUCUCUCUCUUCUCGAGGCUAGUGUACAUCUACUAUUCACUUAAUCAUGCAACCUGCACUGCAAAUUAUACAGCCGUUGACCUACAUAUCGCCAGGUAUAACAUGCCAAUUCCGUUCCGAUGCGUUCGCGUGAAAACGCGGGAGUUUGUUUAGCUUCAAGGACGCACGCGCAUAAAAGUAUGAUUUAUCUUUCGUUUAUUAGAAAAAUGGUUCGCGCCGACAUUUUCUGUACAGAUAAUGGAAUAUUUUCAUUAUCUUUGAAUCGAAAAAAAAGAGGUAGAAACUUAAUUUUAUAAAUUUUUAUAUUUCUUUCUGCCUUCGAAACGGCUUCAAAUUAAAAUUACAGCGAUGUAAAUACAAAUUAUGCAAACGCUACAAUUCAUAAUUUUAUAUCCUGAACGAAUAAAAAAUUAUAUAUCACGAUAUGUAAAAUUUUAUUUCCAUCUCUUUAUCGUCCGCAGUUAUCGAUAAAAUAUUCGAGACUUUAUUUGUAUACGGCAUUCAUUUUCACGUUUAACAAUGGUAAUAAUAUUCCGUAUGCAUUGGAACAAAAGUGAAAUUAUUCACGACGGAAGGAACCCGCGGUCGCGAAAAUCAUGUAAACUCCCGCGCUUCGUCGGUAUCGGGGGCUCUUUGUUUGCCACGCUGAAGUGGUGCUUGCGCGAGAUCGACGCCCAAGAUUGUCAUUCGCGAGCACGGGGCGCCAAAUAUCGAUUUCAGAUUCCAUACUGUCGCGUAACUUCGAUGUCGCGUGCCCUACUUUUUUAGAGGGCUAUCCAGAACCAUCAAUCGAUUGUACAUGAAUUAUCGAUCGCCGACUACAAAAAUUGAAAAAAAAAAAAACUAUAUACAACGCAGCGCGAACGUAAAACAAACUUGAAAUUUUAUUAUAAUCGUUACGUAUUCUUUUAUUCGAUAUUUUACACUGUCUAACGUUAUGCUUACGGAUCGUUACCGUAUACGUUUUCCAAUUCGAAAACCACAGUCAAUAUUCUUAUUUCAUCAUGUUGCAUCACCACAUUACACCAGUUAUUUCGGUAUUCAAAGACAGAAAUUAGAAAUUCUGAAAUAAUAUACGACCGUGUAGAACGAAAUGUAAUAUUACCCGCGGAUUAUUUAGUCUAAAUUUUGAAUUAGUGCUUUGCUGACCUGGAAGCACGAUAUUGCUGUGUAUAUGAACUAAAAUUAGGGGUUCGAAGCACUGCAGUAGAUCAUAAUUAGCAAUUUCUUCGCGUACAAGACCCGCUAGCCCGGGUAUCUCUCAAACUCCGUUUCGCCAAAUUAUUCCAUAAUACGUAUAUUUCAAGCACUCCAGGAAUUAAUUAAAUUAAUACUACCUCGUAAUCAUGAUUUUUUACUGGCGGCCUCUCAGCGUAUGUUUGAAUACUUCAUUACUACGUCAGUAUAAUGUAUUCAUGGAGCUUCAGCUGACAUUUCAUAAUGAUAAAAAAAAUUCCGUGCUCAAAAUCAUAAUUAAAGUUUCGGAAUGUUAUACGACAUUCAGAAAUACUGUGCAAACACAACCACGACUCUCCUUUCUCUCACUCGAAUGCGUGUAAUUAAAAAAAAAUUUUUUUAAUUACACGCUAAAACGGACUAUCGUUGGGAACAUCGGAUGGAAUUUUGUAAUUUAAUAUUCGUCACGAAUCGAGAACGACGUCACAAAUUUUUACAAAACGGAACGGUUGCUUCACAUCCCGCGAACCUUCAACGUUUUAUCCCGGCACCACCGCCGCCGCGCCGCGCCGGCCGAUAAUCUCUCUCGGCAAAGUGAUUUUCCACGUCCCGGCGCUUUUCGCUAUUCUUUUUCCAUGUCGCGGUACGCUUUGAUCAAGUUACGUGACGGCGAUUGUAUCACUGCAAAUGAUUGUACUCUCUGAAACUUUUUCAGAUGAGCUCGUCUCCUUUCGAAGUAUCUCGGUUAAUUCACACGCGCCUGGUAACAGUAAUCUAAGUCAAAUUAGGGUUGGUUCAUACUGUAUAUCUAUACGGUGACAGGCAGGCAAUUUAAUAUCGUUGUAUAUAGUAUAUUAACGGUCAGGAAAAACCGGGAAAUCACGGAAGAGUCAGAGAAUUUAAAAAUCACCAGGUGAAACUGGAAAAAGUCGGGAAAUUCAAAAAUUUAUUAAUCCAAGAUAAAAUUACAUUACUGUAGAUCAAUUGUAAAUUUUUUAACUUUUUAUUUUUAACUUUUUCUUAAUUCAUAAAUAUAAUUUAUAAAAUUAUUUAAAAAACAUUGUAAAUAUUUUUUAAUUUUAUAGUGCAAAAAGAUUUGCAAAAAAGAAAAAUUAAUAUAUUAAUGUUUACAAGUCAAGAUAUAAUUCUAUAUACGUUAACGAUGUUUUACAAAUCACAGCAAGAUUAUGAAAAGUUAUAUAAAAUAUUUAGAAAAUGCUUUAAUAAUCAUGUAUUUUUUUAACGCGAACGGAUUUAUUGCAAGAGACGUUUUAUUUAUCUUUGUAUCGUAUACAAAUAUUGUUAAAAAUUAUAUACAGUGUCAAGGUAAACAAAUUUUAAUUAAAACGGCAAAAGUAGAACAUAAUGUUUCAGUAAAACAAUUAAAUCUCAAUAAAUAAUGUGCAAGAUCAAAACUACAAUCCAAUCGACACUACAAACGCUUCGAAGCAUUCUUUGAUUCAUAAAAUUCUUUGUUCGAAUCAGUCAAAUGCUUCAAAGCAUUUGUAGCGUUGAGAUAUUUAGGAAAUAGAUGAAAAGAUAAAGGUUCUCUCUUAAAAGGUUCUUCUCUUAAAAGUGCAUUGAAAUUGAAAAGAUAAAUGCUUCUCUGAAAUGUGCAUUGAAGUUUUUAUCUUAUAAAUAUUUUAAAAAUACGUUGCAAAAGAAAUUAAAAUUUCAUUUCAUAUUAUCAUUUUUCAUAUAUUAAAAAAAUUUGUAAUUAAUAAAAAAAAAUUCUAAUAUUUUUCUUCAUUUUUAUUAAGUGCUACUUUUUAGCUUUCAGUAGAGAAUUUUUCUAAAAAGUGUGUCGGGAAAAAAUCAAGGAAUAUUUUUCCUAUUUCACUAACAACCCUGUAUUAUCAGACAAUCUUGCUAAGUAGUUUCAGACAGAUUUCUUAAUAUCGUAUUAAUCAACUUAUUAAAAAAAAAGCAAAAUGUUUAAAAAUUAUGUUCUUAAUGCUAGGUUGCUGUUGCUAUUUUAUUUGAAGAAGCGGAAAAAUUCGUAAAAAAAAUAAAUUAUAUAAUAAUGUGGAUACCUAAAAGUUUUUGAUAAAAGAGAAAACCAGAAUGAAAAUUUUACACAUCGUGUAAUUAAUAGAUGAUAAAGUGGUAAUGUCAAACUGUUAUCACCAUAAUUUUUACGUCCAAUCAAUUAAAUAAAAAUAUUCUUCAUUUUAAAUUAAUAAAAAAAUUUAAUUUUUUAUCCACUUUGGAUAUGUUUGACGGAUGCUAGUAAGAGUCAUGUGUUCACAUUGUAAGCUUCCGUCGCGUCGUCAGACCAGCAUCGACCAUCAAAAUAUUCUCUCCGAGAUUACCGGCCGUCAUCUGAUGGCGGCUAGAAGUGACGGUGACGUGCAAUAUGGAUAUUCUAAUGUAAAUUGUAAAUUGCAUAAUGUUUUAGCAGCAGCUGAAGCUUUAAGUCUACCUACCACCGUAUAGUGUACGCGUAACGUAUAGUGUGAAUCCAUCCUUAGAGUAAUUUUCCGCGUCAUCAUUUCGUCUUAAAGUGAUGGCGUAUUACUUUUUUAUACGAAAUUAACGAUUGCAGCGCACAUAAACAAUUAAUGCAUGUGCGACGCUGUUUUCACAGGGAGAGUAAAAGCUCCGUAAAUCACCAGUGGCCAUUUGCCCAAUUACGAGCGUGCCUUAAAUCCAUAUUUAAUUUUUCACAAUUAGCAAAACUGUUUCGAUGGACGCACGCCAAAUGUGUUCGGCCUAAUUAUUUUCCUAGCGGCCACACAGGUCGAAAUUCGGAAUCGUGGAUGGAUCUUCCCGAGGGGAAAAACGACGCUGGCGACGUUCGACGGCAUCCCCAGCGGACGCUGGAAGAUUCAGCAGCGCGCGCGAUCGGGCUUGCUGCCAAACCAAUUCAGCUGCAAUAAUAUUUGCAUAAACUGGAUUCGUCGUGUCUGAUGCAUAAAUCACGCAGCGACACGCGGCGGCAACGGUCUCUCUCGCCCCAUAAUAACGACUACGGAAGAAGCGGCCUUUGAAGCAUGCAGUGCCGCUUGGUUCAGCACCGUAAACAACGCUGUUGUUCUUGCUGCAAUUCCCACCCAGAGUGUCAUUCAAUCGGGCGUAUUCUUCGUGAUCGCCCGUAACGGAUAACGGAAAGGAGUUCUCCAGGGCUUUUUAGGCCAGAGAGGAUAGAAGACAACGGCAAAACACUCUACGACCGUAUAGACGUGAGUUGGCCGAAAUUGAAGAGUUCAAGAAGAAUGUUGGUUCUAUAUCACCAAAUUUUUCAUGGAAAACAAUAAACUGAUUCAAGUGCGACGUUUAUAUAUCACGGUUUUCUUAUAUUACGAUAAAAAAAAAACGAAUCAAUGCUAUUUAUUUAUUGUAAUAAUUGUAAUAAUUUAUACUUUAAAAAUAUGAAUAAUAUAUACUAA
Molecule: long non-coding RNA, 7862 nt
Organism: Solenopsis invicta (red fire ant)
Lineage: Eukaryota; Metazoa; Arthropoda; Insecta; Hymenoptera; Formicidae
Exons: 2
Source: RefSeq, a predicted model, not a curated record